RNAcentral lists this long non-coding RNA (478 nucleotides) under Homo sapiens (human). RNAcentral describes it as "HSALNT0039733". The record is from RNAcentral. Lineage: Eukaryota; Metazoa; Chordata; Mammalia; Primates; Hominidae.
CUAACACGCUGCUCUGAGUGAGCUUCUUCUGCCUUGACACAAAUUCUAAGUCUCGCCAGGGCCACAAAAGGCCGAGUCCCCUGCGUGGCAAUCAUGGCUGCUUUCUGCACUUGAACAUAAAGUCUUCCUCAAGACAGCCUGUGGUCUGCCUCUUGGCAACCAAGAAGCCCACAGUGCCAUACGACCCGAGGCAUGGACUGGAGCCCCAAAGGCAGCACACACCCGGCUCCUGAGCCUACUGCUCGUUUCCUCUCUGUGGCUCCAUUUGUAGCACAGUUGUUGCACUGAGGCUUGUGCAUGCCGGGGAAGGCCAAGCUGGCUCAAAGAGCAACCAGCCACCUCUGCAAGGGUGUGCCAGGAGCAGUUGUACCACUCACCCACUAGCGGCCGGACAAGGUACAUCAGUUCUUCUACCCUAAAGGUGGGCCGCAGUGCCAUCUGCUUUUCCUAAUGCCUCUGCUCCAUCAGCAAUUAGGUG